UUUAUUCUGAUAUCUAAUAUUGGGAGUGAAUGGCCCCAGGUGAGGCACAAGGAUUGCCCCACACUUCUGAGCCAGCAGAGCCCUCUGAGACAGAGGAAAGGGAGUUUUCAUUUUGUAGUGAUGAAAUAUGAAUAUUAUGGAAAUACAAAAUAGGUCAGAUUAAGGAAAAAGGAUCAUAUGUAACUGAAGAAUUUGACCUCAAAGGAAGACAUGAGCUGUACCAUUGUUCCCCGGCAGACUAGGAUGGAAGAUGAAUUAUUCCCAAGAAGAGUAUGCUACCAGUCUGCAGUUGUUGCCAUGAAAAAGAAACCUUGUGGAAAAUUUGGACUUGUUCUGUGCAAAGAUACUUUGGAAGUUCCGACUGCAGGACUACAAUAAGACCCUGUUAGUGUCACUAAAUGGCACGGCAACUUGCACCAGCGUAAGACUGUGCCUGGAAUGGUUAUAAUCAUUUCACCUCCAGCUGAAGAUUAGCUGAAUCAUGUCAGCAACAGGAAAAGAGAAAAAAAAUCAAAGCAUGCCUGACUGUUUAAGGAAGCUGCUAGCUUAGAAUUACAGCAGCACUUUCACUGGUCUCAGAUUUUCCAAAGACUAAUACUCCAUGACUAAGGAAUUGGGCUCAUAUGGAAAUGUUACCCAAGCUUUGCACUAGAGUAUAGCUGUUUUCCUGCAGUUCCUUUCUUUAUAUGGUAGUGUUAAUCUAAAGAGAUUUCUAAAAGGAGAAAGUACAGCUAAGAAUAGACUCCCAAAAAUGAUAUAGCUGUCUCACACCUCACUCCAUGAUACUUCUGAACUCUUUAGGACUGUAUUGCAGGCGGAGUUAGCUGCUGUGAUAGCCCUGCCCUGUCUAAGUUGGGGUGUCCUCUGUACAGUACUUGAGCUACAGUAAUGUUUUCUGGAGUAAUUCAUUCAGAGUCUUUUGCUUCAGUAUCUUUUUAAAAAUAAAUAAAUAAAUAAAUCACUGUUAUACA
Molecule: long non-coding RNA, 971 nt
Filed under: Anser brachyrhynchus (Pink-footed goose)
Lineage: Eukaryota; Metazoa; Chordata; Aves; Anseriformes; Anatidae
Description: lncRNA (ENSABRG00000017351.1)
Source: RNAcentral